Molecule: transfer RNA, 73 nt
Filed under: Ceratocystiopsis collifera
Lineage: Eukaryota; Fungi; Ascomycota; Sordariomycetes; Ophiostomatales; Ophiostomataceae
Also listed under: 9 other names
Description: tRNA-Gln
Rfam family: tRNA
About the family: Transfer RNA (tRNA) molecules are approximately 80 nucleotides in length. Their secondary structure includes four short double-helical elements and three loops (D, anti-codon, and T loops).
Source: RNAcentral
UUUGGAGUAGACAAAUGGGUAUGUCAUAGAUUUUUGGUGUCUAAGAUUGAGUGUUCGAAUCACUCCUCCAAAA